RNAcentral lists this ribosomal RNA (253 nucleotides) under uncultured bacterium. RNAcentral's name for it is "partial 16S ribosomal RNA". It matches the Rfam family "Bacterial small subunit ribosomal RNA", at positions 524 to 776 of the family's 1533-position model. The record is from RNAcentral.
UACGUAGGGUGCAAGCGUUGCCCGGAUUUAUUGGGCGUAAAGGGCGCGUAGGCGGCUCUGCACGUCCGUUGUGAAAUCGCCCGGCUCAACUGGGCGGGGUCAGCGGAUACGGCAGAGCUUGAGCAAGCUAGGGGGCAAUGGAAUUCCCGGUGUAGUGGUGAAAUGCGCAGAUAUCAGGAGGAACACCGGUGGCGAAGGCGGGUCUCUGGGCCGAUACUGACGCUGAGGAGCGAAAGCGUGGGGAGCGAACAGG